CUCGGAGUUUGAUCCUGGCUCAGAUUGAACGCUGGCGGCAGGCCUAACACAUGCAAGUCGAACGGUAGAGGGGGCAACCCCUUGAGAGUGGCGAACGGGUGAGUAAUAUAUCGGAACGUGCCCAGUCGUGGGGGAUAACGUAGCGAAAGUUACGCUAAUACCGCAUACGAUCUACGGAUGAAAGCGGGGGACUCGCAAGAGCCUCGCGCGAUUGGAGCGGCCGAUAUCAGAUUAGGUAGUUGGUGAGGUAAGGCUCACCAAGCCAACGAUCUGUAGCUGGUCUGAGAGGACGACCAGCCACACUGGAACUGAGACACGGUCC
This 322-nucleotide ribosomal RNA is filed under the name uncultured Comamonadaceae bacterium. RNAcentral's name for it is "bacterial SSU rRNA". It matches the Rfam family "Bacterial small subunit ribosomal RNA", at positions 1 to 332 of the family's 1533-position model. Lineage: Bacteria; Pseudomonadati; Pseudomonadota; Betaproteobacteria; Burkholderiales; Comamonadaceae. The record is from RNAcentral.